CAAUAGCGUAUAUUAAAGUUGUUGCAGUUAAAAAGCUCGUAGUUGGAUUUGUGGCGUACGGUGUGUUCCGGGCACUUGUUGUCUGAGUAACCUGCUGUUGCCAUCCUUGGGUGGAACCUGUGUGGCAUUAGGUUGUCGUGCAGGGGAUGCCCAUCAUUUACUGUGAAAAAAUUAGAGUGUUCAAAGCAGGCUUAUGCCGUUGAAUAUAUUAGCAUGGAAUAAUGAGAUAGGACUUUUUUGCUAUUUUGUUGGUUUGCGCAAAGAGGUAACGAUUAAUAGGGACAGUUGGGGGUAUUCGUAUUCCAUUGUCAGAGGUGAAAUUCUUGGAUUUUUGGAAGACGAACUACUGCGAAAGCAUUUACCAAGGAUGUUUUCAUUAA
This 380-nucleotide ribosomal RNA is filed under the name uncultured eukaryote. RNAcentral's name for it is "partial 18S ribosomal RNA". It matches the Rfam family "Eukaryotic small subunit ribosomal RNA", at positions 592 to 976 of the family's 1831-position model. The record is from RNAcentral.